RNAcentral lists this ribosomal RNA (482 nucleotides) under uncultured bacterium. RNAcentral's name for it is "bacterial SSU rRNA". It matches the Rfam family "Bacterial small subunit ribosomal RNA", at positions 32 to 524 of the family's 1533-position model. The record is from RNAcentral.
AAUCAACGCUGGCGGCGUGCCUCAGACAUGCAAGUCGAACGAUUAAAGCUCUCUUCGGAGAGUGCAUAGAGUGGCGCACGGGUGAGUAACACGUAAGUAAUCUACCCUCGAGUGGGGAAUAACGUCCGGAAACGGACGCUAAUACCGCAUAAUGCAGCGGCACCGCAAGGUGACAGUUGUUAAAGAUUUAUCGCUUGAGGAGGAGCUUGCGGCAGAUUAGCUAGUUGGUAAGGUAAUGGCUUACCAAGGCUACGAUCUGUAACCGGUCUUAGAGGACGGUCGGUCACACUGACACUGAAUAACGGGUCAGACUCCUACGGGAGGCAGCAGUCGGGAAUUUUGGGCAAUGGGCGAAAGCCUGACCCAGCAACGCCGCGUGAAGGAUGAAGUAUUUCGGUAUGUAAACUUCGAAAGAAUAGGAAGAAUAAAUGACGGUACUAUUUAUAAGGUCCGGCUAACUACGUGCCAGCAGCCGCCGUAAG